GGCGGCGUGCCCGAGCGGUCAAGGGGGCCGACUUGCCAUCGGCUGGGUUGAUCCCGCACAGGUUCGAAUCCUGUCGCCGUCG
Transfer RNA from Allomyces macrogynus ATCC 38327, 82 nucleotides. It matches the Rfam family "tRNA". Rfam says of the family: Transfer RNA (tRNA) molecules are approximately 80 nucleotides in length. Their secondary structure includes four short double-helical elements and three loops (D, anti-codon, and T loops). Further hydrogen bonds mediate the characteristic L-shaped molecular structure. tRNAs have two regions of fundamental functional importance: the anti-codon, which is responsible for specific mRNA codon recognition, and the 3' end, to which the tRNAs corresponding amino acid is attached (by aminoacyl-tRNA synthetases). tRNAs cope with the degeneracy of the genetic code in two manners: having more than one tRNA (with a specific anti-codon) for a particular amino acid; and 'wobble' base-pairing, i.e. permitting non-standard base-pairing at the 3rd anti-codon position. The record is from Rfam. Lineage: Eukaryota; Fungi; Blastocladiomycota; Blastocladiomycetes; Blastocladiales; Blastocladiaceae.